GUUAUAUGGUCAAGUGAAGAAGCGCAUACGGUGGAUGCCUUGGCAGUCAGAGGCGAUGAAAGACGUGGUAGCCUGCGAAAAGCUUCGGGGAGUCGGCAAACAGACUGUGAUCCGGAGAUGUCUGAAUGGGGGAACCCAGCCAUCAUAAGAUGGUUAUCUUGUACUGAAUACAUAGGUGCAAGAGGCGAACCAGGGGAACUGAAACAUCUAAGUACCCUGAGGAAAAGAAAUCAACCGAGAUUCCCUUAGUAGUGGCGAGCGAACGGGGACCAGCCCUUAAGUUGUAUUGAGAUUAGCGGAACGUUCUGGAAAGGACGGCCAUAGUGGGUGAUAGCCCUGUACGCGAAAAUCCCUUUGCAAUGAAAUCGAGUAGGACGGGGCACGAGAAACCUUGUCUGAAUAUGGGGGGACCAUCCUCCAAGGCUAAAUACUACUGACUGACCGAUAGUGAACCAGUACCGUGAGGGAAAGGCGAAAAGAACCGCGGAGAGCGGAGUGAAAUAGAUCCUGAAACCGUAUGCGUACAAGCAGUGGGAGCCCACUUUGUUGGGUGACUGCGUACCUUUUGUAUAAUGGGUCAGCGACUUAUUUUCAGUGGCGAGCUUAACCGAAUAGGGGAGGCGUAGCGAAAGCGAGUCUUAAUAGGGCGUCUAGUCGCUGGGAAUAGACCCGAAACCGGGCGAUCUAUCCAUGGGCAGGUUGAAGGUUGGGUAACACUAACUGGAGGACCGAACCGACUACCGUUGAAAAGUUAGCGGAUGACCUGUGGAUCGGAGUGAAAGGCUAAUCAAGCUCGGAGAUAGCUGGUUCUCCUCGAAAGCUAUUUAGGUAGCGCCUCAUGUAUCACUGUAGGGGGUAGAGCACUGUUUCGGCUAGGGGGUCAUCCCGACUUACCAAACCGAUGCAAACUCCGAAUACCUACAAGUGCCGAGCAUGGGAGACACACGGCGGGUGCUAACGUCCGUCGUGAAAAGGGAAACAACCCAGACCGUCAGCUAAGGUCCCAAAGUCAUGGUUAAGUGGGAAACGAUGUGGGAAGGCUUAGACAGCUAGGAGGUUGGCUUAGAAGCAGCCACCCUUUAAAGAAAGCGUAAUAGCUCACUAGUCGAGUCGGCCUGCGCGGAAGAUGUAACGGGGCUCAAACCAUGCACCGAAGCUACGGGUAUCAUCUUAUGAUGAUGCGGUAGAGGAGCGUUCUGUAAGCCUGUGAAGGUGAGUUGAGAAGCUUGCUGGAGGUAUCAGAAGUGCGAAUGCUGACAUGAGUAACGACAAUGGGUGUGAAAAACACCCACGCCGAAAGACCAAGGUUUCCUGCGCAACGUUAAUCGACGCAGGGUUAGUCGGUCCCUAAGGCGAGGCUGAAAAGCGUAGUCGAUGGAAAACAGGUUAAUAUUCCUGUACUUCUGGUUAUUGCGAUGGAGGGACGGAGAAGGCUAGGCCAGCCUGGCGUUGGUUGUCCAGGUUUAAGGUGGUAGGCUGAGAUCUUAGGUAAAUCCGGGAUCUUAAGGCCGAGAGCUGAUGACGAGUGUUCUUUUAGAACACGAAGUGGUUGAUGCCAUGCUUCCAAGAAAAGCUUCUAAGCUUCAGGUAACCAGGAACCGUACCCCAAACCGACACAGGUGGUUGGGUAGAGAAUACCAAGGCGCUUGAGAGAACUCGGGUGAAGGAACUAGGCAAAAUGGCACCGUAACUUCGGGAGAAGGUGCGCCGGUGGAGGUGAAGCAUUUACUGCGUAAGCCCCUGCCGGUCGAAGAUACCAGGCCGCUGCGACUGUUUAUUAAAAACACAGCACUCUGCAAACACGAAAGUGGACGUAUAGGGUGUGACGCCUGCCCGGUGCCGGAAGGUUAAUUGAUGGGGUUAGCGCAAGCGAAGCUCUUGAUCGAAGCCCCGGUAAACGGCGGCCGUAACUAUAACGGUCCUAAGGUAGCGAAAUUCCUUGUCGGGUAAGUUCCGACCUGCACGAAUGGCGUAACGAUGGCGGCGCUGUCUCCACCCGAGACUCAGUGAAAUUGAAAUCGCUGUGAAGAUGCAGUGUAUCCGCGGCUAGACGGAAAGACCCCGUGAACCUUUACUAUAGCUUUGCACUGGACUUUGAAUUUGCUUGUGUAGGAUAGGUGGGAGGCUUUGAAGCGUGGACGCCAGUCUGCGUGGAGCCAACCUUGAAAUACCACCCUGGCAACUUUGAGGUUCUAACUCAGGUCCGUUAUCCGGAUCGAGGACAGUGUAUGGUGGGUAGUUUGACUGGGGCGGUCUCCUCCUAAAGAGUAACGGAGGAGUACGAAGGUGCGCUCAGACCGGUCGGAAAUCGGUCGUAGAGUAUAAAGGCAAAAGCGCGCUUGACUGCGAGACAGACACGUCGAGCAGGUACGAAAGUAGGUCUUAGUGAUCCGGUGGUUCUGUAUGGAAGGGCCAUCGCUCAACGGAUAAAAGGUACUCCGGGGAUAACAGGCUGAUACCGCCCAAGAGUUCAUAUCGACGGCGGUGUUUGGCACCUCGAUGUCGGCUCAUCACAUCCUGGGGCUGAAGCCGGUCCCAAGGGUAUGGCUGUUCGCCAUUUAAAGUGGUACGCGAGCUGGGUUUAGAACGUCGUGAGACAGUUCGGUCCCUAUCUGCCGUGGACGUUUGAGAUUUGAGAGGGGCUGCUCCUAGUACGAGAGGACCGGAGUGGACGAACCUCUGGUGUUCCGGUUGUCACGCCAGUGGCAUUGCCGGGUAGCUAUGUUCGGAAAAGAUAACCGCUGAAAGCAUCUAAGCGGGAAACUUGCCUCAAGAUGAGAUCUCACUGGAACCUUGAGUUCCCUGAAGGGCCGUCGAAGACUACGACGUUGAUAGGUUGGGUGUGUAAGCGCUGUGAGGCGUUGAGCUAACCAAUACUAAUUGCCCGUGAGGCUUGACCAUAUAACACCCAAGCAAUU
This 2918-nucleotide ribosomal RNA is filed under the name Pseudomonas syringae. RNAcentral describes it as "23S ribosomal RNA". It matches the Rfam family "Bacterial large subunit ribosomal RNA". RNAcentral also lists the same sequence under 1 other name. The record is from RNAcentral. Lineage: Bacteria; Pseudomonadati; Pseudomonadota; Gammaproteobacteria; Pseudomonadales; Pseudomonadaceae.